Lactuca sativa (garden lettuce) is the source of this 3753-nucleotide RNA transcript. It is a transcript of the gene named RNA recognition motif (RRM)-containing protein, with no coding region annotated. The record is from RefSeq and is a predicted model, not a curated record. NCBI's taxonomy places the organism in Eukaryota, Viridiplantae, Streptophyta, Magnoliopsida, Asterales, Asteraceae.
AUCUUCUAACCACUAUUUCUAAAGAGUAUCCCCGCCGUCGUCCACCACAACCACCGAUUGGGGAUAGCAGGAUCGUAAUUCGUGGUUUGGGGUAUAUAUGGCUGAUCGUAACUUGGCCGUUGUGAAGCCAAUAUGGAUGAAGCAAGCAGAAGAGGCAAAAAUAAAGAGCGAAGCUGAGAAAGACGCGGCGGCUAAAGCUGCCUUCGAGGCUACCUUCAAGGACGUUGAGAAGAAUCGAGAGCCUGCUCCUUUAUCAGAUAGUGAUGGCGAUGAAGAAGAAGACUUGACUAACAAGCCUAUAGGUCCUGUGGACCCCACCAAGUGCACGGCCGCUGGGACUGGUGUUGCUGGCGGAACUGCUUGUGCACCUUCUUCAUUUGUGGUGGUUACAAAGGAUUCAGAUGGUCGGAAAGUUCCCCAUGGUGGAGCCCAGGUGAAGGUGAAGGUGUCUCCAGGAGUUGGUGUUGGAGGGUCCGAACAAGAAGGGAUUGUCAAAGAUAUGGGUGAUGGGACCUAUACAGUUACCUAUGUGGUUCCUAAAAGAGGAAACUACAUGCUGGAUGUUGAGUGUGAUGGGAAGUCUAUCAUGGGUAGUCCAUUUCCAGUUUUCUUUAGCGCAGGUAUAACUACAGGAGGGCUUCUGGGAUUUGCUCCACAGAUGAAUUUCCCAAAUAUGGUUAACCAGACCAUGCCAAACAUGCCAAAUUACUCAGGUUCUGUUUCAGGGGCAUUUCCAGGACUUCUUGGAAUGAUUCCUGGGAUUGUUCCGAGUUCAUCAGGUGGGGUUGUUUUGCCUGGAAUUGGAGCAUCACUUGGGGAAAUUUGCAGAGAGUAUCUGAGUGGGCGUUGUAUUAAAACUGAUUGCAAGUUGGGUCACCCUCCACACAACCUGCUUAUGACUGCUUUGGCUUCUACAAGCACCAUGGGGACACUUAGUCAAGCACCAAUGGCACCAUCUGCAGCUGCAAUGGCAGCUGCACAGGCUAUUGUUGCUGCUCAAGCGCUUCAAGCACAUGCUUCAAGUGCACAAGCUCACGCUUCUAGAGAAACUACUGUAGCAGAAGAUAAGGCAGCAAAAGCCGAUUCUUUAAAGAAAACACUCCAAGUUAGUAACCUCAGCCCACUACUCACUGCAGAACAACUAAAACAGUUUUUUAGUUUUUGUGGCACAGUUAUUGACUGUAGUAUCACAGAAUCUAAGCAUUUUGCAUACAUAGAAUAUUCAAAACCUGAAGAAGCAACAGCUGCACUUGCAUUAAAUAACAUGGAUGUUUUAGGGCGCCCAAUGAAUGUUGAAAUGGCAAAAUCACUGCCUUCAAAGCCUGCAGUUUCUUCAUCUUCUUUGCCAAUGGUGAUGCAGCAAGCUGUUGCUAUGCAACAAAUGCAGUUUCAACAGGCUCUUUUAAUGCAACAAACUAUGAAUGCACAACAAGCAGCUAAUCGAGCAGCAACUAUGAAGAGUGCAACUGAAUUGGCUGCUGCUAGAGCUGCUGAAAUUAGUAUGAAGUUGAAAGCUGAAGGAAUAAUUGGAAAUGAAGAUGAAUCAGUUAAAAAUCCAAGGUCACCUUCUCCAGUUCCCACAAGGUCAAGGUCAAAGUCAAAGUCUCCUGUGAUAUACCAAAGAAGGCGUAGGUCCCGCUCCUUUUCACCUCCACAUCGCCGCAUAAGAGGUUACAGAUCCAGGUCACCAAUAAGGUCCCGCCACUACUCAACUUAUGAAUAUGACAGGCGGACAUUUAGGGGUGGUAAUGACCGCUACAGGAGACGAGAAUACAACAACAGCCGCCAUUCUUGGAGAAAUAGAAGCAGAAGUUUAAGCCCGCGUGGCAGAAAAUCUUCAGAAUCCCCAAAACGCCCUCGCAAAAGCCCCAAGAAGUCUUCACGUGAUGAGCAAAGUAAGGAAAAACACAGAAGGCAGUCAAGGUCUAGGUCUAAGUCCAAGUCCAGGUCCAGGUCAGCAUCUUUGGAGGUCAAACCUCGGUCAAAUGAGAAGAUUGUUGAUAGGAGGCGGUCCAAGUCCAGGUCAGCAUCUUUAGAGGUCAAACAUCAGUCAAACGAUAAGAUUGAUGAUGUUAAGGAGGAAAAGUCAAAAGGGCGCGAUAGGACACGGUCCAGGUCAGCAUCUUUGGAGGUCAAAGAUCGGUCAAAUGAUAAGAUUGAUGAUGUUAAGGAUGAAAAGUCAAAAGGGCGUGAUGGGAGACGGUCAAGGUCCAGGUCAGCAUCUUUGGAAUUCAAACAUCGGUCAGAUGAGAAGGUGGAAAGGUCAAAAGGGCGUGAUAAGAGGCGGUCAAGGUCAAGGUCCAGGUCAGCAUCUUUGGAAGUCAAACAUCGGUCAAACGAUAAAAUGGAUGAUAGGAAGGAGGAAAGGUCAAAAGGACGUGAUAAAAGGCGGUCAAGGUCCAGGUCAGCAUCUUUGGAAGUCAAAACUCGGUCAAACAAUAAAAUGGAGGAAAGAUCAAAAGGGCGUGAUAGGAAGCGGUCCAGGUCAGCAUCUUUGGAAGUCAAACGUCGGUCAAAUGAUAGUAAGGAAGAAAAGUCAAAAGGGCGUGAUAGAAGGCGGUCAAGGUCCAGGUCAGCAUCUGUGGAGGUCAAACAUGAUAUUAAGGAGGAAAGAUCAAAAGGGCGUGGUAGGAGGCGAUCCAGGUCCAGGUCAGCAUCUUUAGAAGUCAAACAUCGGUCAAACGAUAAGGUUAAUGAGAACAGGGAGGUAAGGUCAAAACACAGGAGGCGGUCAAGGUCCAGGUCAGCAUCCGUGGAGGUCAAACAUCGGUCAAAUGAUAAGAUAGAUGACAGUAAAGAGGAAAGAUCAAAACGCCAUGAAAGGAGGCGUUCCAGGUCAGCAUCUGUAGAAGUCAAACAUCGGUCAAACAAUCGGGAGGAAAAGUCAAAACGUCAUGAUAGGGGAAGGUCAAGAUCUUUAGAGGGUAAACAUCGUUCGAGUGGUAAGUCAAAGCACAGAAAACGGUCAACGUCAAGGGAUAAAUCAAAGUCCAAGUCAAAGUCAAAGUAUCAUGGUAGAAGGCAGUCCAGGUCAGCAUCUCCGGAUGUCAAGCGCCAUCGUUCGGACGAACAAAGAUCAAAACACAGAAGACGGUCAAAGUCAAAGUCAAGGUCAAGGUCAAGGUCAAAGUCAGCAGAAGAUAACCGAUUGAACAAUGUGGAUCAUGAGGGGGGAGGGGGUGAUUGGGCGGGUGAGGGGACACCGGAGCGUUAUAGGGAGUCGGAUGUUUUGAUAAAGGAUGAUGGGAUUGGUGGUGGAAGUGGGGAGGAGUAUAAUUAUAAUGAUGACGUGGCAGCUGAGGAGGAAGUCAGAAUGUUGAGUUGACCAACUAUUUGGGAAGUGUAGAGUUGAAGAAUAAAAUGUGUUGUUUGUUUUGUUUUGCAGGUUUUGAAAAUGUCUGAAUGAAUGAAUGUGAAUCAUCUCUGGAGAGUCUGAAGUGGAAUGUUUUUAGCGACUUAAUCAACUUCUUAAUGAGAUGAAUGAAUGUAUGUCCUUGUCCUAUUACUACCUCAAUCAUUAGGUCAGCUUAUUAAGCCAGACAGCAGCCAGAUGUCGAUGAGUUGACUAUGAAGUACAGAUGAGGGUGGUCAACUGUGUGUUCUUUUAUCAUGGUGAAAUUGGGAUAUGUUAAUUUACAGGUAAGAUUCCUUGAGCAUUCUAGUUAUAUGAGUAUCAUGUAAAUAAAUGAUUAAGUGUUUAAAAAAUUAGGAUUUGUGAUGUUUCUUUAAAAAAAAUAUUUGCGCUUGCAACCA